Clupea harengus (Atlantic herring) is the source of this 3531-nucleotide long non-coding RNA. The record is from Ensembl. Lineage: Eukaryota; Metazoa; Chordata; Actinopteri; Clupeiformes; Clupeidae.
AGGCGGCUUCCUGGGUUGUGCAGAAUGGAUGGAUUGUCUGUGUCUGAAUAUGCCUAGAAUGCAUAGAUGCACACACCCACCAAGAAAUCCAAAUCCUCUCUGUGUUGGUUGGAAGCAGUACAUCAGUGGACAUCAUACCAACUCUACACUUCAUUCACCAACAACCAAGCACCAGAAUGGAAAACAAAACCAUAACCAUAGCUGAAAUAUUAGCUAAACCAAGAAAUCGUCAACAGGUAAACAUCAAAGUGAAAAUUCAAGACAUCCGAGAAAACACCACCCGUUGGCUUCAACACGAAUGCCGAGAAAUACAGAUGUCGACCUACUCCGUCGCCGACAGCACUGCCAGUAUCCUGCUAACUACAUGGAACAACAUGGACCUCACUAUAAACAGCUGGUACACCCUCUCACCUGUCACUGUUAAGGACUACAACAACACCAUCACUGUCAGCACAUCACCAUCCACCGCAGCAGAGACCAUCAAUCGACCCCCCAGACAUGGUGUAGCUGCACCAGUAACAGACAAUUCAGAAGAAGUCACUGGACUCAUCAUUGGAGCCAUGACUACAUCAACAAUCACCUGUCCCAAAAGGCACCCUCUUCCCAACUGUCCUCCUGGUGCACCUUUCCACAUGUGCCCUACAUGUAACCAACAUUUCAUUACAGCUAAGCUCCGCCACCAAUGGAAUGUUACCCUCACAUUGGAGAUAAAUGACACCACUAUAAGAGAAUUUAAGAUGGAUCAUACAGUCGUCCUAAACACCGCACCAAAGCACAUCUACCUGGACACAGACCCAAUCACAGUCACUGCACAUUUCCUGUCCAUUGGUUUAGUAACUGUGCGUGUCAAAGAUGAUGCUGUUUCUGCACUACACCCCUGCACAGCUUCUGCAUCUGUCCAACAAGAUACAGACAUCGCUGAUGAGACCCUCUUGACUUUUUUGGACGAAACGCUUUCUACCAGUGACGUCUAAAUCAACACAACACAUAGUUCUGACAACUUAUUGCAUUACACUCACCAAAACAUACAUCUUCACAUACAACACUUGUCAUAAACAUACCCUUAACAUUUCAUAAUCCUAUUGUUUCACAGUUGUUAUCUUAAUAAUCUUCAUAAUUGUUAUACUUGUAAAUGUUUUUAUUUGAUUUUCAAUUGCACAGUAAAUCAGUAAAUCAGAUGAUGUAAAUAUUUUGCCUUCUUACUAUUGUCAAACACAUUAAUUUUACUCUCACUUUAAAUGUGUUUUCAAUGUAAAACUUAAAAUGUGUAAAAACACUUAUUGUUCAACAUACAUUCUUUUACUUAUCUUCAUUGUACUUAUACAUUUGUCUUUAACUUGUAUUUUUUCAUUUGUAGUAAAUUCUUUGCUUAUUGUAAAAAAUUACAAAAGGUUACAAUAACAAAUAGUCAACCACCCAGCAUUCACAUACAUUUCCAACACAACAUUGACAUGGACAUAUCACCACAUGUAACUACACUGACUCCAAUUGAUUUAAAAUUCAGUACGUAUGUUUAUGUAAGACACAUAUGUAAUUAUUCUACUUUGACACCACAAUAGCUAUGAAAAUAAGACUGAAUGCAAUUAUGAAGCAACUUUGUACAUAUACAAUUUUUCUUGAUGUUUGUUUAUAAUUGGAAUAUCAUAGUAUGCAAAACAAUUUGUUCCAAUCAAGUAGGUUUACUUUUAUUGGACAAGAAGCCUUCCAUGAGUGGUGACAUUUGACAACCUCAGACAGUCUGCCACUGGGCCAAAUGAAAAGGCUCUUGUCUUUAUUUGCAAUGCACCUAGACCAUAAGAGGCAAGCUGGGGCCUCUUGUACUGUUAGAAAGGCCAGUUACAUUAAACAUUAUUGCUGUCAUAUACCAUAUUCCUUUGAUUAAACGCUGCAGUGUUUAUUACACAAUGCUCAUUUGUGGUGCACAUUUAUUCAAGGGUAAUGUUCAUUCAAGGGCAACGUUUAAUUGGUAAAAGAGAUUCAGUGAAUUGUAGCUGCAGUGCAGCCAUAGACAAACACAGAAUAGACAAGGAGGUCAAACAAAAGCCCAGUGUAAAAUGUAUGCCGCGCGUCUCUCUACUGUGUGUACAAAUCUGACGCAGCAUACUGUUAGAUUUCGGUUUCUUUGUCAUAACUUCACAUAAUUUCACAUUGUACAAAUUGUGUGAACAACCCCCAAAAAGUUAGUUUGCAUAGCACCAGGCCACAGCCAUCAAGCAACUCCUGGCCUUUUGUCUAUGUUGAUGAGCCAUCAGACAUGGUUCCUGGCUUUUGUGUGUCUUGAAGCCGGAAACGUUAGGUGGCCUUUGUCUUCACCCAUGACGAGAUGGCUCAAGCCAAAAGGUUAUUAGCAUUUAUAUGGCCAUACCUGGUAUGACCAUAUAGGGCCUUUGGUCAAGUGUCAUGUCAAUUUUGUAAUGAUUGGAAUGUUAAGGAGGAACCCGCCAUUGCUGCCUGCAGCUAUAUUUAUAGUUGCAUUUUUGGGUCACUUUGUCUCAUUGAUAGCCCAUGACUUAAAUAUACAGCAGUAAUAAUGGGAACAUGUCUUCAGCAACAACUACAUCUAUAUUUUUCAUACAUGUACAUUUCAAUGCAAAUGCUGUACUGCACUACUUGUGUAAAGUUGUGUAGUAUCGUUGGUAACCAGGCUGCAAACAAACAAAACAAAGCAGAGAACUGAAUCUGCCUUAUUUCCAGUGUACAAUUUAAUUUGUUUGUCAAAAUACAACAUCUUUCCAUCUACAAUGAUCUAAAUUUUCUCCGGUUUUGAACUUUUUGCUGGUGGUGAACAUUGACUGAGACAGGUAUCCAGGAAUUUCGGAAGAAGUGGUCACUGAAUGCAUUUUGUAUCUAAGCAAUGGGAAAGUAUCCACAGUUGUGUUCACAUAGUCUACUGGUAUGCUGAUAUGAAAAGGUGUACAUGGUAUUGAGACAAGUGUGAAAAUGAUUGGAAAAACUGUAAACCCAAUGUAAAACAUUCACGUUGUGCAGCCCAUAUUAUUCUGAAGCAUGCAGAAUCUGAGCUAGCCAGCUGUAGCUAUCCUAGUUGACUAAUUAGCUACUGGGAACAUAAUGAAAGACUACCGUAUACAAUUUAUUUCUAUAGCCCAUUCAAAAAACAAUAGGAGUUGUACCAAAGUGCUUUCUAGUUGUGGUAAAUAGAUUGACAAUAAGAAUAAACAUGAAUUAAAGGAAAUAAAUGUUAAAACAUACAAACAAAUAACAGGAAUAGAAGUAGAAAGAAUAGAAGACAAAAUAACACAAAAUACAUUCUCGAACACACUAAAGAAAUACUGAAACACACUAAUUAAAUACUAAAACAUGAUACAUGAGUACAAUUAAUAAUGAAAAGACACAUACAAUGAACAAGAUAAGCAAGUAAAAAGUUAAUCAGAUGAUCUUACUGUUGUCAUUAUGUUAACCGGUACAAUAUUUAUGAAUUAUGGUAUUAAAAAAAUGUCAGGUCUUGGGUCUGUACAUUAUGUUGGUUGUGUGUACGAUCAGUGAGAUUAAAAUUAUUACCAAUUAAUAAGA